RNAcentral lists this transfer RNA (76 nucleotides) under Escherichia coli. RNAcentral describes it as "tRNA-Ala". It matches the Rfam family "tRNA". Rfam says of the family: Transfer RNA (tRNA) molecules are approximately 80 nucleotides in length. Their secondary structure includes four short double-helical elements and three loops (D, anti-codon, and T loops). Lineage: Bacteria; Pseudomonadati; Pseudomonadota; Gammaproteobacteria; Enterobacterales; Enterobacteriaceae. The record is from RNAcentral. RNAcentral also lists the same sequence under 4 other names.
GGGCUGUUAGCUCAGCUGGGAGAGCACCUGCCUUGCACGCAGGGGGUCAGCGGUUCGAUCCCGCUACGGUCCACCA